Molecule: long non-coding RNA, 3945 nt
Organism: Loxodonta africana (African savanna elephant)
Lineage: Eukaryota; Metazoa; Chordata; Mammalia; Proboscidea; Elephantidae
Exons: 3
Source: RefSeq, a predicted model, not a curated record
UGCAAACCUGAUAGCAGGACAGUCACAGGCAGUACUUGAGGUCACUUCAUGAAUCCACAAGUUUUUCUAGGCUUGAAGAUGUCUCUUCACAGCGAGGAUAAAAAUCCCAGUUACUGAAGGUAAAGCAUGUUGGGACUAAGGUCUGAAAUGAGAGGAACAGGGUGGGUCCAAAGCCUCCCUGGAAAAACUCAAGUCUGGGAAGCUGUAGGACAGAGCAGCCUUAAGUAGCUGAGAGAGAGGUGUGUGCCCUGGAAACAGAGAUGUGGAAUAAAGAAGAUGCCAUCUUCAUCUUGGGUCUUAAACGCUAGCAAGUGGCCAUCUAAGGUGCAUCAAUUGGUUUCAACCCACCUGGAACAAAGGAGAAUGAAGAAUACCAAAGGCACAAGUGAAGUUAGACGAGGAUGUCUGAAGAUGACUCCACCAUGCCAUUUUUACUUCUCCUCAGCUCUGCCACCUCCCAGCUCUGUGACCUUGGGAAGUAGCCUCUCUGGGUCUAUUUCCUUAUUAUGCUCAUAAAAUGAACAAAGGAAUUCCUACUCCUCAGAGUGGUUGUGUGGCUUCUUUAAUUACCUACAUUUGUAAUCCAUCACACAUUCGUUAGUGUGUUGUACUGUGAUGGUUUUCGGGUUGCUGUGAUGCUGGAAGCUAUGCCACCAGUAUUUCAAAUAUCAGCAGGAUCACCCAUGGUAGACAGGUUUUGGCAACACUCCUAGACUAAGACAGACUAGCAAGAAAGGUCUGGGGAACUACUUCCAAAAAUUAGCCAAUAAAAACCCAGAAUAGUGUCCAAUAUAGUGCUGGAAGACGAGCCCCCGAUGUUGGAAGGCACUCAAAAUACACAGUGGCCACAACGAUGGACUUAAACACACCAACAGUCGUGAAGAUGUCAGAGGACUGGGCAACAUUUUGUUCUGUUGCACAUGGGGUCGCCAUGAGUCAGAGCUGAUUCAAUGGCAACCAACAGCAUUUGUAAUUAGAUACAAAAAUGUAUGUAAUGCAUCUAGCACAGAGCAGGUGAUCAGAAAAUAUGCAUUUCCUUCAACUACUAUUUUUCUUCGCUUCUCUCCUCCAUUUAUAUUUCCCUCCGCUUCUCUGGCAGCAGACCGUACAUCUCAAAUCACUUAUGUGAUGCCUGCUGCAAGUCAUGGACAGGUGGUGUUAGCCAUGACCGCCAUCUGGCUCCUUCUUUUUAAUGAGCAAAUCUUGCUAUCUAGGCCCUAAACUCAGUCUAGCUGCUGACAGAAUGCAUGUGCUGUAAACAGGUACAAUGUUUAGUUGAAUUUUAAAAUACUUAUUUUAAAUUUUGAGUUGGGAGGCAACCCCCCACCCAGGGCUCUGCUGGGUAGGAUUAUGAAGUCCCUUGGGAAGGAUUAUGAAGUUAUUUACCAGUGCAAUGAACCUCCUCAGAAGUAGAAGUUCUUCACCCUUGGAAGGUUCCAACAAGGUAAUGAUGGCAUAGGUUCUCACUUGUCUAAGCUGAGAGUAGAGGAUUCUGCUUCUGACAGGAGGCAGGGGUGGGCUCUCAGCCCCUCACCCUCUCUGAACUUCUCCAGCCUCAUGCCUUGUGAAAGGGGGGUUCAUAGGGAACAAUAGCCAUGCUGGUGCCAGGGGGUGGCUGGCAUUCAAAGGGGAACUGGCUUGUCUCUGAAGACUAUGAGGACCUGGGGAAGGGGAUUUGCCGAGUCCACCUCAUGGAGCAGAAUGAAGCUGAGAAGGAUGAAAACGAAAGAGGGAGGUAGACCUGAUGAAGGACUUUGGACACGCAGGAUGGAAGGAUUCUGUGCAGUCUGAAAGUUUAACAGGUCAUACUGGAGUAGGCUGGGUUCUAGUCCUAUCCCUUCUGAAUGAUAUCUGUACAGGGGGGAACAGACAGGGAGACAGUCACACACAGGGAGAAGACAUUGUCUCCAAUGGAGGAUCUGUCUCCAAGCCAAGGAAUGCCAAGAAACGCCCAGGCAACCAGAAGUUGGAAGAGACAAAGAAGGAUCUGCCUAGAGCAGACAGAGAGACCACGAUCUUGCUGACACCCUGAAUUCAGACUUCCAGCUUCCAGAACUACGAGAGAAUAAAUUUCUGUUCUUUAAAGCUACUCAUUUUGUGGCAUUUUCUUACGGCAGCCCUAGGAGACUAAGACAGAGGUCAAGGACUGGAGCCUGGCAUUCUAAAGGGGAAGCCAGAGGAAGGAGGAAACACCACAUGGUUUAGAAGCCAAGGACUGGCGGGGCUGGGGCUCUUUGCAGGAGCCACCUUCCUGUCUGCAUGCAUGUCCAGGCCCAGGGCACUGCGGUGCGGGCUGCGCACAAACCCCAGCCCGGAGUACAGGCAUCAGCUUCCUUCACUCUAGGCAUUUACCGCCAACUUGGGGAUAAUUUUUGUCUUUUUCAUUACUCUGCAUGGCAAAUACAUGUAUACACAUCACAGUGUGUGUGUAUGUGUGUACCCUUACAAUCAAGACUUAUCCUCUAUGAUAAGAAAUAAAAACAGCAUUAAUUAUCCUUUGGAGUGACUUCACAGGGAUUUGGGAGAAUCAUUUAAGAAAGAAAUGUGCUCACAACUACCAGUGCUAUUAUUAUUUGAAUUUUAACCCUAAGAAUUUUCCAGCCUACCAGCCAAACCAACACUCAGGCAAAUUUACAGUCUUCAAAGGCGAAAACCAUCCCAGUCCUCUCCUGCUUACUGGGAGAGGGCUGAAUUUCUGGAGCUCCAACUUGACACUGUUCCCUGAACUCCUCCCCUCCCCAUUUCCUGUGGUUUCCGAACUCACUUUUUACCACUCAGGUCAGGGAGAUGCAGUUUGAAUGUGUCAUCAGAUCUGCCUUAGAGUAAACGUAUAUUUUGGGUGCUGCUUUUGUCUAACCCCUGGGUCACAUGACUGUGCUUACAGGGCUCUGAGUGGGCCCUCUCCUUUCUCCUUCUGCAGUCAGCCAAAGGGCUAGAGUCUGGACGUUCAACGAGAGCAGCUCGCUCAUCAUCCUCACUAGUAACCCCCUUCCUGGCCCCCAGGAAGGAGCAAACAGUCCCUGAAACCAUGCUAGCAGGCAUGAAUAAUUUAAUCCCAAAUCCUGGAACUUCUGUGACAACCAAAUCAUCAAACUUCCCUUGACUUCUUUAAUGUUGUGGAAUAAAGUUCAUAACUUUACGUGAGAAUAGCUCUGAUAGUGUCUAUUUAUCUCCAGAUGAGGGUAGUCAGAACUAGAAGAAAUAACCUAAUAUAUGCAUAUGGAAAAUGGAAAAUAUAUGUGUAUAAAACAUAUACAUGAGUGUUAGGAUUGUGCGUUCAGAGACAUGUGCACACACACUCAGCAAUUAUACAACCACAACUCCUCCAAGGACUCAACAGCCAUCCUGUGUGUAAAUCAGGCAUAGGUGCCCUGAUUUCCUCCUUGCCUUCAGAAGUCUGCUCUGUGCAUUUAUAAUUCUAUUUGGUACAUUACGGGGUAUGUUCCUGACAGGAGAGAACUUCCAUUUUGACUAGGUGUCAAUGAAAACAGAAUCUUCUCCUUACGAUUUUACACUUCUGAUAACUGAAAGAAUUUUCCACAGACACAUUUCACAUUCUGCUCCUACUUUCCUAUUGACCUAGUUCUUGGAACAGAUGCCACAGGAUAUGUUUCUAUUGCCCUGUCCCUCUGUGUGACAAUGCCACCUGAGUCAUCAGGGUGAGCAGGAGUGUUCCUGGAAGCCAUGUCUACCUCAAAACAGCUACGGACUGCAUGUGCUGAAGAGACUGCAAACUGCAUAAAUACCCCACAAAAUCCAAAUUAAAUACAUCCCGAGCUUAAUUUUCCCUUAGCUGGAGCCCCAAAAUGCUCGAAGUCACUUCAAUACCACAAGAAAUGAUGAAAGUGUGUAAGGGCAAAGUUGGAGUAGAAAGAGAUGAUAGUCUUAACCUAUUUCAAUUAAAAUAUCUUCCUUUUGCAAAUUUUACAAAACAUAUGCCCAAGC